CGCUCCCUGAACAAAAAACAUGGGGAGUCCUGCCUGCCCAGUGACUAGAGGUUAAACGGCCGCGGUAUCUUGACCGUGCGAAGGUAGCAUAAUCAUUUGUCUCCUAAAUAGAGACUAGUAUGAAUGGCAAGACGGAACCAAACUGUCUCUUUCCCGCAAUUCUGAAUUUCACCUCCCCGUGAAGAGGCGAGGAUAAAAUCGCUAGACGAGAAGACCCUGUCGAGCUUACAGCAAAACUCAAACUCUUAGCAUAUCUUACUCCACACUAAUUAAUAAAACUAUCUGGAAGUAGGGUCUCUAAGAGAUCUGAAUAAAGCUUUGGUUGGGGCAACCGCGGAGUAAAAGAACCCUCCGAUAAUACAAAAAUUAUACUGAGAACAACAAUUCUAAAAUCAACAAUGAAAGUAUGAUCCACUAAGGUGAUCAAAGGAACAAGUUACCGCAGGGAUAACAGCGUUAUCUUUUCUGAGAGUUCACAUUGACGAAAAGGUUUGCGACCUCGAUGUUGGAUCGGGACAUCCUAAGGGUGCAGAAGCUUUAAGGGUUGGUCUGUUCGACCAUUAAAGUCCU
Molecule: ribosomal RNA, 570 nt
Filed under: Echinometra sp. RCMB0607
Lineage: Eukaryota; Metazoa; Echinodermata; Echinoidea; Camarodonta; Echinometridae
Description: partial 16S ribosomal RNA
Rfam family: Bacterial large subunit ribosomal RNA
Source: RNAcentral